AGGGUUAGUCGGGUCCUAAGCAAAGUCCGAAAGGGGUAUGCGAUGGAAAAUUGGUUAAUAUUCCAAUGCCAACUAUAAUGUGCGAUGGAAGGACGCUUAGAGUUAAGCAAGCUAGCGGAUGGUAGUGCUAGUCGAAAGGUGUAGGUUAAGAUCCAGGCAAAUCCGGAUCUUUUUAAGCCGAGACCCCACAGGCGUUUGAAGUUCUUCGGAAUGGAUAGCGAAUUGCCGAUACUGUCGAGCCAAGAAAAGUUUCUAAGUUUAGUUAUAGUUGCCCGUACCGUAAACCGACACAGGUGGGUGGGAUGAGUAUUCUAAGGCGCGUGGAAGAACUCUCUUCAAGGAACUCUGCAAAAUAGCACCGUAUCUUCGGUAUAAGGUGUGCCUAGCUUCGUUAAGAAUUUACUUCGUAAGCGAAGAAGGUUACAACAAAGAGUCCCUCCCGACUGUUUACCAUAAACACAGCACUCUGCUAACUCGUAAGAGGAUGUAUAGGGUGUGACGCCUGCCCGGUGCUCGAAGGUUAAUUGAUGACGUUAGCUUACGCGAAGCGUCUGAUCGAAGCCCGAGUAAACGGCGGCCGUAACUAUAACGGUCCUAAGGUAGCGAAAUUCCUUGUCGAUUAAAUAUCGACCUGCAUGAAUGGCGUAACGAGAUGGGAGCUGUCUCGAAGAGGGAUCCAGUGAAAUUGUAGUGGAGGUGAAAAUUCCUCCUACCCGCGGCAAGACGGAAAGACCCCGUGAACCUUUACUAUAGCUUGACACUGCUACUUGGAUAAAGAUGCGCAGGAUAGGUGGGAGGCUUUGAGUCGUAGAUCUCGGUUUACGAUGAGCCAUUGUUGAGAUACCACUCUUCUUUAUUCGGGUAGCUAACUAGCCUAAGUUAUCCUUAGGUAGGACAAUGUCUGGUGGGUAGUUUGACUGGGGCGGUCGCCUCCCAAAAUGUAACGGAGGCUUACAAAGGUUGGCUCAAAGCGGUUGGAAAUCGCUUGCAGAGUAUAAAGGCAAAAGCCAGCUUAACUGCGAGACAUACACGUCAAGCAGGGACGAAAGUCGGUCUUAGUGAUCCGGUGGUUCUGUGUGGAAGGGCCAUCGCUCAACGGAUAAAAGGUACCCCGGGGAUAACAGGCUGAUCU
RNAcentral lists this ribosomal RNA (1132 nucleotides) under human metagenome. RNAcentral describes it as "bacterial LSU rRNA". It matches the Rfam family "Bacterial large subunit ribosomal RNA", at positions 1376 to 2488 of the family's 2925-position model. The record is from RNAcentral.